GGGCUGACAGUUCUCCUGAGUGAAAAGGAGUAAAGUAGCGGGGAUGUGGUGGCCGUGCUGACAAUGAGUUUUCUUGAAGGCUUUUUUGGUCCAGUUUGUGAGAUUGAUAUGUCUUUAAUGAUGGAGAAGCCAGGAAAAUGACAGAAAUGAAAACUGAAGAUGGCAAAGUAGAAAAACACCAUCUCUUUAUAAUGGAGAAUCUGUUUCAGGGAAGGUCAAAUGGAACUUUACAAUGACAAGAGUAAUGCUCAUGAAUUUAUAAACCUAAUGAAAGAACUAGCCUUACCUGGAGAACUGACUCAGAGAAGAAGUUAUGAUUUUGAGUUUAUGCAAGUUAAAAAGCCAUAUGCAUCUGACAUCGGUGCCAGUGUUCACUUGAGGUAUUUUCUUAAAGUGACAAUAGUGAGAAGACUGACAGAUUUAGUAAAAGAAUGUGAUCUUAUUGUUCACCAGCUUGCCACCUGUCCUGAUGUUAACAACUGUAUUAAGAUAGAAGUGGGCAUUGAAGAUUGUCUACAUAUAUAAUUUGAAUAUAGUAAGUCAAAGUAUCAUUUAAAGCAUGUAAUUGUUGGAAAAAUUUACUUCUUAGUAGUAAGAAUAAAAAUACAACAUAUGGAGUUACAACUGAUCAAAAAAGAGAUCACAGGAAUUGGACCCAGUACCACAGCAGAAACAGAAACAUCACCAAAUAUGAAAUAAUGGAUGGUGCACCAGUAAAAGGUGAAUCAAUUCCAAUGAGACUGUUUUUAGUGGGAUAUGACCCUACUCCAACAAUCAGAUGUGAACCAAAAAGUUUCAGUAAGGUACUUUUUGAAUUUAGUGUUUGUUGAUGAGGAAGACUGAAGGUACUUCAAACAGCAGGAGAUCAUUUUAUGAAGAAAAGCUCCUGAAAAACUGAGGAAACAGAGAAAAAACUUUCACCAGUGAUUUGAAUCUCCAGAAUCACAGGCAUCUGCUCAACAGCCUGAAAUGUGAACUGAAUAGG
RNAcentral lists this long non-coding RNA (985 nucleotides) under Homo sapiens (human). Its description in RNAcentral is "HSALNT0058929". The record is from RNAcentral. Lineage: Eukaryota; Metazoa; Chordata; Mammalia; Primates; Hominidae.